Molecule: ribosomal RNA, 253 nt
Filed under: uncultured bacterium
Lineage: Bacteria
Description: partial 16S ribosomal RNA
Rfam family: Bacterial small subunit ribosomal RNA
Source: RNAcentral
UACAGAGGGGGCAAGCGUUGCUCGGAAUCAUUGGGCGUAAAGCGCACGUAGGCGGCUCCAAAAGUCGGAUGUGAAAUCCCUGGGCUCAACCGAGGAAGUGCAUCCGAAACUGCGGAGCUUGAGUAUGGAAGAGGGUCGCGGAAUUCCCGGUGUAGAGGUGAAAUUCGUAGAUAUCGGGAGGAACACCAGUGGCGAAGGCGGCGACCUGGGCCAAUACUGACGCUGAGGUGCGAAAGCGUGGGGAGCAAACAGG